This 546-nucleotide ribosomal RNA is filed under the name Trigonopterus sp. 468 MB-2015. Its description in RNAcentral is "partial 16S ribosomal RNA". Lineage: Eukaryota; Metazoa; Arthropoda; Insecta; Coleoptera; Curculionidae. The record is from RNAcentral.
CCGACCUGGCUCACACCGGUUUAAACUCAGAUCAUGUAAAAUUUUAAAGGUCGAACAGACCUAACUUAUUCAGCUUCUACACCAAACGUAAAUUUUAAUCCAACAUCGAGGUCGCAAUCUUUUUUUUCGAUAAGAACUCUAAAAAAAAUAACGCUGUUAUCCCUAAGGUAAUUUAUUCUUUUAAUCUCUAGUUAAGGAUCACUUUUCCAUAAAUAAAUGUUUCUUCUAAAGAAAAGUUCUACUAAUUUUCCUGUCACCCCAACAAAAUAACCCUUUUUAUAAAUAAACAACCACUCCUUAAAAUCACUUACAUAAAUUAUUAUAAAACUCUAUAGGGUCUUCUCGUCUUCUAUAGUUAUCUAAGCUUUUUUACUUAAAAAUAAAAUUCUAAUAAAAUUACCAAGAGACAGUCAUUUUUUCAUCAAACCUUUCAUUCUAGCUUUCAAUUAAAAAACUAAUGAUUAUGCUACCUUUGUACGGUCAAAUUACCGCAGCCAUUUAAAUCUCAUAGGGCAGGUCAGACCUGAAAUUAUAAUCAACAGGCCA